RNAcentral lists this ribosomal RNA (253 nucleotides) under uncultured bacterium. RNAcentral describes it as "partial 16S ribosomal RNA". It matches the Rfam family "Bacterial small subunit ribosomal RNA", at positions 524 to 776 of the family's 1533-position model. The record is from RNAcentral.
UACGGGGGGGGCAAGCGUUGUUCGGAAUUACUGGGCGUAAAGGGCUCGUAGGCGGCCAACUAAGUCGGAUGUGAAAUCCCCAGGCUUAACCUGGGAACUGCAUCCGAUACUGGAUGGCUUGAAUCCGGGAGAGGGAUGCAGAAUUCCAGGUGUAGCGGUGAAAUGCGUAGAUAUCUGGAGGAAUACCAAUGGCGAAGGCAGCACUCUGGGACGUGACUGACGCUGAGACACGAAAGCGUGGGUAGCAAACAGG